UUGGCGGCGUGCUUAACACAUGCAAGUCGAACGAAGCACUUUAUUUGAUUUCCUUCGGGACUGAUUAUUUUGUGACUGAGUGGCGGACGGGUGAGUAACGCGUGGGUAACCUGCCUUGUACAGGGGGAUAACAGUUGGAAACGGCUGCUAAUACCGCAUAAGCGCACGGCAUCGCAUGAUGCAGUGUGAAAAACUCCGGUGGUAUAAGAUGGACCCGCGUUGGAUUAGCUAGUUGGUGAGGUAACGGCCCACCAAGGCGACGAUCCAUAGCCGACCUGAGAGGGUGACCGGCCACAUUGGGACUGAGACACGGCCCAAACUCCUACGGGAGGCAGCAGUGGGGAAUAUUGCACAAUGGGCGAAAGCCUGAUGCAGCGACGCCGCGUGAGCGAAGAAGUAUUUCGGUAUGUAAAGCUCUAUCAGCAGGGAAGAUAAUGACGGUACCUGACUAAGAAGCACCGGCUAAAUACGUGCCAGCAGCCGCGGUAAUACGUAUGGUGCAAGCGUUAUCCGGAUUUACUGGGUGUAAAGGGAGCGCAGGCGGUGCGGCAAGUCUGAUGUGAAAGCCCGGGGCUCAACCCCGGUACUGCAUUGGAAACUGUCGUACUAGAGUGUCGGAGGGGUAAGCGGAAUUCCUAGUGUAGCGGUGAAAUGCGUAGAUAUUAGGAGGAACACCAGUGGCGAAGGCGGCUUACUGGACGAUAACUGACGCUGAGGCUCGAAAGCGUGGGGAGCAAACAAAAUUAGAUACCCUGGUAGUCCACGCCGUAAACGA
RNAcentral lists this ribosomal RNA (775 nucleotides) under uncultured bacterium. RNAcentral's name for it is "bacterial SSU rRNA". It matches the Rfam family "Bacterial small subunit ribosomal RNA", at positions 36 to 809 of the family's 1533-position model. The record is from RNAcentral.